CCUACGGGAGACAGCAGUGGGGAAUAUUGCACAAUGGGGGAAACCCUGAUGCAGCAACGCCGCGUGAGUGAAGAAGUAUUUCGGUAUGUAAAGCUCUAUCAGCAGGGAAGAAGAUGACGGUAACUGAGUAAGAAGCCCUGGCUAACUACGUGCCAGCAACCGCGGUCAUACGUAGGGGGCAAGCGUUAUCCGGAUUUACUGGGUGUAAAGGGAGCGUAGACGGUGAGACAAGUCUGAAGUGAAAGCCCGGGGCUCAACCCCGGGACGGCUUUGGAAACUGGCUGACUAGAGUGCAGGAGAGGCAAGCGGAAUUCCUAGUGUAGCGGUGAAAUGCGUAGAUAUUAGGAAGAACACCAGUGGCGAAGGCGGCUUGCUGGACAGUAACUGACGUUGAGGCGCGAAAGCGUGGGGAGCAAACAGGAUUAGAUACCCUAGUAGUC
Molecule: ribosomal RNA, 440 nt
Filed under: uncultured bacterium
Lineage: Bacteria
Description: partial 16S ribosomal RNA
Rfam family: Bacterial small subunit ribosomal RNA
Source: RNAcentral